RNAcentral lists this non-coding RNA (102 nucleotides) under Clostridium argentinense. RNAcentral's name for it is "Guanine sequence". It matches the Rfam family "Purine riboswitch aptamer". From Rfam's summary of the family: Riboswitches are metabolite binding domains within certain messenger RNAs that serve as precision sensors for their corresponding targets. Allosteric rearrangement of mRNA structure is mediated by ligand binding, and this results in modulation of gene expression. The record is from RNAcentral. RNAcentral also lists the same sequence under 1 other name. Lineage: Bacteria; Bacillati; Bacillota; Clostridia; Eubacteriales; Clostridiaceae.
AUGAAAAAAAGUUGAUGUCUUCGUAUAUUUCUGGUGAUAUGGUCCAGAUGUCUCUACCAGAACUCCGUAAAGGUUCUGACUAUGAGGAUUUAUUUAUUACUA